AAUCCAUAGGUUAAUGAGGCGAACCGGGGGAACUGAAACAUCUAAGUACCCCGAGGAAAAGAAAUCAACCGAGAUUCCCCCAGUAGCGGCGAGCGAACGGGGAGGAGCCCAGAGCCUGAAUCAGCAUGUGUGUUAGUGGAAGCGUCUGGAAAGGCGCGCGAUACAGGGUGACAGCCCCGUACACAAAAGCGCAUGUGCUGUGAGCUCGAUGAGUAGGGCGGGACACGUGGUAUCCUGUCUGAAUAUGGGGGGACCAUCCUCCAAGGCUAAAUACUCCUGACUGACCGAUAGUGAACCAGUACCGUGAGGGAAAGGCGAAAAGAACCCCGGCGAGGGGAGUGAAAAAGAACCUGAAACCGUGUACGUACAAGCAGUGGGAGCACCCUUUGGGUGUGACUGCGUACCUUUUGUAUAAUGGGUCAGCGACUUAUAUUCUGUAGCAAGGUUAACCGAAUAGGGGAGCCGGAGGGAAACC
This 475-nucleotide ribosomal RNA is filed under the name Salmonella enterica. Its description in RNAcentral is "partial 23S ribosomal RNA". It matches the Rfam family "Bacterial large subunit ribosomal RNA", at positions 161 to 678 of the family's 2925-position model. RNAcentral also lists the same sequence under 2 other names. The record is from RNAcentral. Lineage: Bacteria; Pseudomonadati; Pseudomonadota; Gammaproteobacteria; Enterobacterales; Enterobacteriaceae.